CUGAGAACCCUGAGCCCAAACCACCCAUUCUUUAGACUGCUCCCGGAUACCACUGGAACUAUGUGGGACACCUGCCCACAGCAUGGCUUGACACCUGGGUUCCGAACUGACGAAGCCUAGGCCACCAAAGUGGACCAUGCAAACUUAAUCCCUGUGCCACCAGGGGCCCUGGUCCUAUCAUUUUAAAACAAUUCCCCUGGCUCACCGCUGACAGAUCUUGAUAUCCAAGAGGGAGUCGGCUUGCAGGAUUAAAGGCAGGAACCUCAAUUAGACACUCUCUGAUUUCUUCAGAUGUUUUUUCUAAUCUUUUAAUAUGGGAUUAUAGGCAGCUAGAACCUAUAUUGCUGCUAUAAAAAUAGUGAAGACUCUUUGUUCUAAAUCAUAAGCACUCGACGUUUUAAAAAUGUCUGUUUUUCUUAAUUCGAAUUAAUUCUGGUCUAGAUGAGGAUAAUGAACUUUGGUCAGCUCUUUG
Molecule: long non-coding RNA, 472 nt
Filed under: Equus caballus (horse)
Lineage: Eukaryota; Metazoa; Chordata; Mammalia; Perissodactyla; Equidae
Description: lncRNA (ENSECAG00000056538.1)
Source: RNAcentral